UCUCCUCUUUGAUCAGGAGAGGGGGGAAGUGGUAUUUAUCCGCGUGUGACAGUGAUUCAUAGCUCUGCAUUUUGUUGUCGCUUGUUGCUGCAACUUUGAACUGAUUACAAACACAGCUGUCGGUCCUCUGACCUCUCACGGCGUCGACGGGAUAACCUGACGGGUUCAAAGGUUCGUGCGGUAUUUGUUUGUGAGGCCUCAAGUUUUCCUGUGCUCUCAGAGCCAGUGGUACUGCUGACUUUUUUUGCAUCACACAUGUUUGAUUUUAGGUUCAGCGACCUCUCAACUCACUUGGUCGUGUUGUUGGUUGUCAUGAGAUGAAUUGAGAAGAAGCUCUCCUAACGCUCAGAGUGGUGAUGUGUUUGGUCCCAGGAAUGUGUUUCCUCUGCUUUCCCCGGGGGCACGGACCCUUGUUUUUCAAGAGUGUUUCCGUUCUUUCUAUCCACAAAGGAAGAAGAGGUGGAGGCAUCCGUCAAGGACUCGUGUUCUCUGUUUUUGGGUGAAAUAUUGCAAAUUCCUAGAGUCAGUCAGUCUCGUCAUGGAGGUCCCUGCGAGCCUUCAGCACACGCAGGCCAUGGAGACGCAAGCAGAAGACGCACAUCUGCUGUUUGAAUACAUGCAACGGAAAUGUGAAUGCCAGAGAUUCCUGAGAUCGGGCUGACCCAGAUCUGACAUGUCCCACUCAUCACAAGACACAAACAAACACGCAUAUGUGUGUGUUCACAUACUGGCUCUUUAGUUCACGUAACUAACAACAGAGUCUGAUCUGCUUCACACAACGCGGGGCUUUAACUUUUAAAAAAAAAUUCAAAUGCUUUAUGUACAGUAAAUAAUUCUGCUAUUUUAUAAUAAAGGUUUUGCCAGAAUAUACACAUGCAUCAAUGAUUAAUGAAAAUAGAACCUUAAUUAUUACAGAAAACACUUUAUUUAUACCACAUCACAUCAUAUGCUCUAGAAUGAAUUUUGGCUGUGCAAACUAUUAUAAUGUCUACCACAUGUGUGGGUUUAGGUCAUUAACUAAACUUAUCGUUGGUCUUUGGCUGACUUGAGGCAUCUGUAUUUGCACUGCAGUCGUUCUAAGCACCAAAUUGGAAGCAUUCGCUGUGUGAAUGGUAUUUACAAGUGAGAAACUGGUUAUUACCAGGACUUUAUUACCAAUGGUUCAGAAUGUGCAGCUGAACA
Molecule: long non-coding RNA, 1182 nt
Organism: Oreochromis niloticus (Nile tilapia)
Lineage: Eukaryota; Metazoa; Chordata; Actinopteri; Cichliformes; Cichlidae
Exons: 2
Source: RefSeq, a predicted model, not a curated record